This 442-nucleotide ribosomal RNA is filed under the name uncultured bacterium. RNAcentral describes it as "partial 16S ribosomal RNA". It matches the Rfam family "Bacterial small subunit ribosomal RNA", at positions 339 to 795 of the family's 1533-position model. The record is from RNAcentral.
CUACGGGGGGCUCCAGUGAGGAAUUUUCCACAAUGGGCGAAAGCCUGAUGGAGCAAUCCCGCGUGCAGGAUGACACCUUUCGGGGCGUAAACUGCUUUUCUGAGGGAAGAAAUUUUGACGGUACCUCAGGAAUAAGGGGCGGCUAACUACGUGCCAGCAGCCGCGGUAAUACGUAGGCCCCAAGCGUUAUCCGGAAUUACUGGGCGUAAAGCGAUCGAAGGUGGACUUGUAAGUGAGGUGUUAAAUACCUGCGGCUCAACCGAGGUGCUGCACUUCAAACUGCAAGACUAGAGGAAUGCAGAGGAAACUGGAAUUUCUGUUGUAGGGGUAAAAUCCGUAGAUAACAGAAGGGACACCAAAAGCGAAGGCAGGUUUCUGGGCAUUUCCUGACACUGCACGAUCGAAAGCGUGGGGAGCAAAAGGAUUAGAUACCCGGGUAGUC